RNAcentral lists this ribosomal RNA (431 nucleotides) under uncultured bacterium. RNAcentral's name for it is "bacterial SSU rRNA". It matches the Rfam family "Bacterial small subunit ribosomal RNA", at positions 28 to 441 of the family's 1533-position model. The record is from RNAcentral.
GACGAACGCUGGCGGCGUGCCUAACACAUGCAAGUCGAACGGAGCCAUCCGGCUGAUCCCUUCGGGGUGACGCUGGUGAAGCUUAGUGGCGGACGGGUGAGUAACGCGUGAGUAACCUACCGGGAAGAGGGGAACAACACACCGAAAGGUGUGCUAAUACCGCAUAUUGCCGGUUUACCGCAUGGUAGACCGGUGAAAGAUUUAUCGCUUCCUGAUGGACUCGCGUCUGAUUAGCUUGUUGGCGGGGUAACGGCCCACCAAGGCGACGAUCAGUAGCCGGACUGAGAGGUUGAACGGCCACAUUGGGACUGAGACACGGCCCAGACUCCUACGGGAGGCAGCAGUGGGGAAUAUUGCGCAAUGGGGGCAACCCUGACGCAGCAACGCCGCGUGAAGGAUGAAGGUCUUCGGAUUGUAAACUUUUGUCUUUG